RNAcentral lists this ribosomal RNA (119 nucleotides) under Pteropus alecto (black flying fox). Lineage: Eukaryota; Metazoa; Chordata; Mammalia; Chiroptera; Pteropodidae. The record is from RNAcentral.
GUCUACGGCCAUGCUACCCUGAAUGAGCCCGAUCCCGUCUGAUCUCGGAAGCUAAGCAGGGUCAGGCCUGGUUAGUACUUGGAUGGGAGACCACCUAGGAAGAGUAGGUGCUGUAGGCG